Molecule: transfer RNA, 87 nt
Filed under: Anaerolineae bacterium
Lineage: Bacteria; Bacillati; Chloroflexota; Anaerolineae
Description: tRNA-Ser
Rfam family: tRNA
About the family: Transfer RNA (tRNA) molecules are approximately 80 nucleotides in length. Their secondary structure includes four short double-helical elements and three loops (D, anti-codon, and T loops).
Source: RNAcentral
GGAGAGAUGGCAGAGUGGUUUAUCGCGGCGCUCUUGAAAAGCGUUGUAUCCGCAAGGAUACCGGGGGUUCGAAUCCCUCUCUCUCCG